This 440-nucleotide long non-coding RNA is filed under the name Macaca mulatta (Rhesus monkey). RNAcentral describes it as "lncRNA (ENSMMUG00000059494.1)". The record is from RNAcentral. Lineage: Eukaryota; Metazoa; Chordata; Mammalia; Primates; Cercopithecidae.
UAGACGGAGAGAAACUGCAAAUGCUUCUUUUUGUUGAUGCUGUUGCCCUCGUAGCAUAAGUACUGCAAGAAUGUGAACAAUUACAGCCGAAAAUUCAAGCGGAAGCUGCUAUGAUAGAAUUCGAAAUUCACCCCUGAGGAGUGAAACAGACCCAGAUAUGUGAAGCUUGAAUAUAUCUACCUGAGUAAAGUGAUAUUUGCUGUUGCCUGCAUGUUCCAACCAGCCAAGAUGAUGUCAUAGAGCAUUUUUUCUAUACCCUGUUUAAGAAGGGCUGAGAAAAGGAUAGGAGAAGAAACUGGGUGCAGAAUUGGCUUUUGCCUCUUCUUCCUACCUGAGCCAUCCAGACAGCACAGCUGCCCCCCAGGUAGGUCUCAACUAAGAUGUGUACACGUGGUUGAGGCUACCAUAGAACACAGGAGCUUUGUAGAGCACAUCAAGUC